UAUGAAUUAAUGUAUGGGGCAUGUAAGAUUUUGAUUCUUAAAGAUAUAGUUUAAAUCUGUAGUUCAUAA
This 69-nucleotide transfer RNA is filed under the name Megalodontes spiraeae. RNAcentral's name for it is "tRNA-Gln". It matches the Rfam family "tRNA". From Rfam's summary of the family: Transfer RNA (tRNA) molecules are approximately 80 nucleotides in length. Their secondary structure includes four short double-helical elements and three loops (D, anti-codon, and T loops). The record is from RNAcentral. Lineage: Eukaryota; Metazoa; Arthropoda; Insecta; Hymenoptera; Megalodontesidae.